AAGAAGGGUGACCUUCAUGACACUCAUUAGUACACAAGAUUCAAGAGUGUGCUUUGCUGUGCAGUGAGCUCUAAACAAGUCUGAUCUUAUCUGGGAAGGCUCAGGCCCAUCUGAGAACAUGCACGUGGCUUAUUGAGACCUUGGCGCUGAUCAAUAGAAAUAGUGUUCUCAACUGCUGCUGGAAGAUGGGUAAUGUGCCAACAUCAUAACAAGGUUCAAGGGAGGCACAUCUCAUACGAGUGUGAAAAGGCAAUCAUCAUGCUUAUGAACUACAAGAUUAUCCUAUAUAUUCAUUUUCAAUUAUUUUAUCCUCCUCUGCCUCUUGCCCUGGACUAUAUAAGACCUGCAAUAUAAUGUUGAAUAAGGAAGGUGAAAACGAACAUCAUUGCAUCACUCCUGAUAUCAAAGCAUGGUGAAUUAUAUUAAUUUUUGGAUAUUAAACCAACCUAAAGUUCCUGGUCAUGAAGCAUUAUCCUUUUUAUAUAUUAUUGUAUUUGAUUUGCCUAAGAUGUCUGCUAUUAUUUCCAGAAACCAGAAACCAUACCGCCGCC
RNAcentral lists this long non-coding RNA (551 nucleotides) under Homo sapiens (human). Its description in RNAcentral is "HSALNT0181641". Lineage: Eukaryota; Metazoa; Chordata; Mammalia; Primates; Hominidae. The record is from RNAcentral.